AAGGCCCAGACAGCCAGGAUGUUGGCUUAGAAGCAGCCAUCAUUUAAAGAAAGCGUAAUAGCUCACUGGUCGAGUCGGCCUGCGCGGAAGAUGUAACGGGGCUAAACCAUGCACCGAAGCUGCGGCAGCGACACUAUGUGUUGUUGGGUAGGGGAGCGUUCUGUAAGCCUGUGAAGGUGUACUGUGAGGUAUGCUGGAGGUAUCAGAAGUGCGAAUGCUGACAUAAGUAACGAUAAAGCGGGUGAAAAGCCCGCUCGCCGGAAGACCAAGGGUUCCUGUCCAACGUUAAUCGGGGCAGGGUGAGUCGACCCCUAAGGCGAGGCCGAAAGGCGUAGUCGAUGGGAAACAGGUUAAUAUUCCUGUACUUGGUGUUACUGCGAAGGGGGGACGGAGAAGGCUAUGUUGGCCGGGCGACGGUUGUCCCGGUUUAAGCGUGUAGGCUGGUUUUCCAG
RNAcentral lists this ribosomal RNA (452 nucleotides) under Escherichia coli. Its description in RNAcentral is "partial 23S ribosomal RNA". It matches the Rfam family "Bacterial large subunit ribosomal RNA", at positions 1080 to 1536 of the family's 2925-position model. RNAcentral also lists the same sequence under 1 other name. The record is from RNAcentral. Lineage: Bacteria; Pseudomonadati; Pseudomonadota; Gammaproteobacteria; Enterobacterales; Enterobacteriaceae.